UAAGACCACGAGAUUCGAACUCGACCCCUGGUUUACGAGACCAGUCUCUAACCUCUGAGCUAUGGUGGC
RNAcentral lists this transfer RNA (69 nucleotides) under Araneus ventricosus. RNAcentral's name for it is "tRNA-Thr". Lineage: Eukaryota; Metazoa; Arthropoda; Arachnida; Araneae; Araneidae. The record is from RNAcentral.